Hibiscus syriacus is the source of this 100-nucleotide long non-coding RNA. RefSeq lists it as uncharacterized. Lineage: Eukaryota; Viridiplantae; Streptophyta; Magnoliopsida; Malvales; Malvaceae. The record is from RefSeq and is a predicted model, not a curated record. The transcript is spliced from 3 exons.
AGUACCUUGUUUGAAGGUUGAGAAGAGUUUGGAGUGGAAGCCCACAUGAUCUUUCACAACACAGACUGAAUUGGGUUUUAACAGGUUUUAUACGGACAAC